RNAcentral lists this long non-coding RNA (593 nucleotides) under Arachis ipaensis. Its description in RNAcentral is "long non-coding RNA (AIPA_LNC001397)". Lineage: Eukaryota; Viridiplantae; Streptophyta; Magnoliopsida; Fabales; Fabaceae. The record is from RNAcentral.
GGAAAGAUGAGUGACCAGAGGUCUAGCUCCACCAGAGACACCAUUGUCGCUCAGAGGAAGAACACCGUUACCGUUCCAUUGAUCUUAAACUAUUGUCUUAACCCACUUGCGCUGGUUCUUCUUGCUUUGAAUCUGACCUACCACUCAUCUUCAUCAUUCCGCCAAGUCGCUCCUCCUCUCCCCCAACCCGUUUCGUGGCUGGAUCGAAACCGGUCGUGGAGCAUGGAUCCUCGUGGUAGCCGCGCUGAAGAGGCCGAUUCUGGCCUGCCACUAUCCUCACCUUCAAAACGAUCUGCUUGUUCCCGUCAUUCUCCACCGCAAAACCACAUGCUCACCCUUUGCCAUCAUCGCUGCUAGUCGGAGCUCGGAGCGGUUGGUUGCGUCGACGAUCCGAUGGGUUUCGCGUGCUUCUAUAUCAAAACUGUCCAAACUUGCAUCUUGAAUUGAGUUACCAUUUUCUGUGAUACUUGGAGAGUUUCCAGCCUGUUGGUAUCGAUUGCCACCCUUCCCUGUCGAGCUGGUUGAGACGAUACCCACUGUUAUCGCUCCCGAGAUUUGAUAAGUUCCCAUCUGUUCUCAAAUGUAUCAUUAGA